This 779-nucleotide ribosomal RNA is filed under the name uncultured bacterium. RNAcentral's name for it is "bacterial SSU rRNA". It matches the Rfam family "Bacterial small subunit ribosomal RNA", at positions 9 to 789 of the family's 1533-position model. The record is from RNAcentral.
GAGUUUGAUCCUGGCUCAGGAUGAACGCUGGCGGCGUGCCUAACACAUGCAAGUCGAGCGAGAAGGUUUUGAAUGAUUCUUCGGAUGAAUGAUGAACUGGAGAGCGGCGGACGGGUGAGUAACGCGUGGGUAACCUGCCCUAUGGAGGGGGAUAACUAAGAGAAAUUUUAGCUAAUACCGCAUAAGCACACAGGACCACAUGGUCUAGUGUGAAAAACUCCGGUGCCAUAGGAUGGACCCGCGUAAGAUUAGCUAGUUGGUAAGGUAAUGGCUUACCAAGGCGACGAUCUUUAGCCGACCUGAGAGGGUGAUCGGCCACAUUGGGACUGAGACACGGCCCAAACUCCUACGGGAGGCAGCAGUGGGGGAUAUUGCACAAUGGGCGAAAGCCUGAUGCAGCAACGCCGCGUGAAGGAAGACGGUUUUCGGAUUGUAAACUUCUAUCAGCUGGGAAGAAAAUGACUGUACCAGACUAAGAAGCCCCGGCUAACUACGUGCCAGCAGCCGCGGUAAUACGUAGGGGGCAAGCGUUAUCCGGAUUUACUGGGUGUAAAGGGUACGUAGGCGGCUUACUAAGUCAGAUGUGAAAGCCCGAGGCUCAACCUCGGGACUGCAUUUGAAACUGGUGAGCUAGAGUACAGGAGAGGUAAGUGGAAUUCCUAGUGUAGCGGUGAAAUGCGUAGAUAUUAGGAAGAACACCAGUGGCGAAGGCGGCUUACUGGACUGUAACUGACGCUGAGGUACGAAAGCGUGGGGAGCGAACAGGAUUAGAUACCCUG